CGCUGGUCCCCGGCAACACGGCUCAGGCAAACGUAAGCGGCUUGUCGCAGAAACCAAGGGGUCCACGAAACGCGCUAGGCUAGAAGGCGGGAAGGAGAGAUUACUGACAGCCGUGCCAGCCAAUAAAAUAGAAAUCAACAGAGAGCUCAGAAAUUCCCAGACUGUUUUGAUGAUAAGGUCCAAGAACUUGCCAUGUGAUCUAUCACUACUAGACUCCCACAACUGCAUUAGAUUUGUUCAGGAUUUUCAUAUAAUUUUCAUAACUGGCUAAGGGUAACUUGGUCACAAAAAAUGAAACAUUGUUGUAAGAAUAUAUCAAGGAAAGUGGAGCGAAAGGCCAGUAGGAAAACCAAGACUCUCUGGAGAAGUCAACAGGGCAUAGCUAUAUUUUAUACAGGGGCCAUGUUGAAUGUGAAAGACAACGUGUUCAAAACUGCGCUCAUAUUCAAUGAUUCUGAAAUAACCCAUCUUGAAGACAUAAACAAUGUGCAUUGAUGGCUAGCCAGACUCUGUCCUGCCACGGUUCUCCUCCUACUCUUCAUUUCUUACCCCAAGGAGUAGUAAACAUGAAUCCUGACCCACCAAUGCAGUCCCAGAACUGAGAAAAGAUUCACUGCAGCUAAACAGUAGGUAGAAAUAAAAACAAUGACUCAAUUCAAUAAUAUUAAGUGUGUUGGGAAGACAGUCUCCAAGAGAAAUGAUAAAUAACCUACAUAAUGAAGAAUUAGUUAGCAGUGUUAUGUAAAUA
Molecule: long non-coding RNA, 748 nt
Filed under: Pan troglodytes (chimpanzee)
Lineage: Eukaryota; Metazoa; Chordata; Mammalia; Primates; Hominidae
Description: long non-coding RNA NONPTRT004754
Source: RNAcentral